This 844-nucleotide long non-coding RNA is filed under the name Monodelphis domestica (gray short-tailed opossum). Its description in RNAcentral is "lncRNA (ENSMODG00000040762.1)". Lineage: Eukaryota; Metazoa; Chordata; Mammalia; Didelphimorphia; Didelphidae. The record is from RNAcentral.
CAGAAGACUUGGUCAGGGCUGAAUUACAACCAGAGAUAGCAUAGAGCAUUAGGUAGCAGAGGACCUCCAGGCUUCAGAAUUACAUUCUCCUUUCUUCCUUCAACAAAGUCCUAAGUUAUUGCUCUGAUUUGACUCUGUGAUUGACUACCCCAUGGGGCAGAAUGCCCUGCUCAUUAGUGACUCUGGGUAGUUUUGUUUAUUUCUAGUUGUGUAUUUUGUUCAUUUUUGUGCAUGCAUCUGAAGAUUUUCCAAAGAAAGUGAUGAAUGUAUUUUCAUAAAUCAAAAAAAGAGUAAAUAAAAGCAUGAAAGUCCAGAGACUGGAAUUUGAUAUGCCAGGCCAGAAGGUGCCCCUGGCUAUGUCUGGGUGAAGAUACAUUAUUUGUUUAAGCAAGGUCAAGUCUCUGUUGACUUCUUAGUUUGUUCUUGGAACCUUGUCUGUUCUCAGUCCCAAGAAGUCAUGGAUUUGGUAUCUGAUGGCUUUUCCCACAUCCAAAUCUUCAGGGUCAAGAAGAGGUUGAGGAGGCCUGUGAUUUCCUGCCUUGGUUGUCUCCUGAUGAGAAUGGAAGCUCCUUGAGGACAGGCAUUGCUUUUUUGCUUUUCUUUGGGGCCUCAGCACUUAGCAUGAAAGGAUGGCCUUCAAUGUGAGGGAAGCAGAAGGAUUAUAUUCAGAAAUGAAGGUGAUAUGAAAGCAAAAAACCCUAGAAAAAUUAAAAAUGAAAAGGAGAAUACAUAACAAUUGUUCAACCAUUGUCAAAGAAUCUCUGCAAAACUUUGGUGAGCUGAGAUUGUAUAAAUGCCUUGAUUUGAUUUUUUUUCUGUGAAAGGGAGAAGAGGUGAAUUUUGG